This 7424-nucleotide long non-coding RNA is filed under the name Jatropha curcas. RNAcentral's name for it is "long non-coding RNA (JCUR_LNC002705)". The record is from RNAcentral. Lineage: Eukaryota; Viridiplantae; Streptophyta; Magnoliopsida; Malpighiales; Euphorbiaceae.
UAGGUGCCCUGCUGGUUAUGGAAUUUUGAGGUAUCUAAAUGGACGAUGGCAACCGUUUGGAAGAUAAUUUCACCAAAUCCAAAGUUACUUAUCUUCAACGACCAAAAUCCGAAGUUGCAUAGCAUCAAGGAUUCUCCUUUCUCCUUUGGUCUGCCUAGAUGGCCAUUUUUCUUUCUCCUUCAAGCGUACAAUCUGUCCCCACAUUUGUUUCUGAAGAUUGUUUCCACAUCAAGAUGGUCCUUUCUCCUUACCAAGCGUAGACGAUGAAUCCAACCCUCAUGGCCUGUCUUCAUUUUCGACGAAAGAGAAAAUAAUUAAACAAAAGAAAUGAUAUGUUCAACCAGAAAGGAAGAACCAGAAGAUGAAGAUUCUCAAACCACGAUUGAAUCAAGUGUAAAAAACCAUGGAGGCAAUCUUCAAGAAUUAAUCACCUAGGAUUAAACUUUUCAACCAUAUUUUACUAACCAUGGAACGUUGACUAGAAACAUGAAUUAAACCGGAAAAGGUGGGACUCAAAUCACUUGAUUGUAUAAAAGGAGCACCAAAAUCUAAAAUCAGUGUUUAAGCGUUAAAGAAAGCCGAACUGAAUAACUCUUCACAAAACAAUUUUUUUAAAAGAGAACCUGUCAAAUAUCUACAAUUCAUUUCUCAUACAGAUGAAAUUCAUUCAACAUAAUAAGAAACUCAAAACAGAAUCAUAAAAUUAUGAAUAUUUUUUAGAGGCUCUGAUUGUGCAUUUGUCAAACAAACGGGAUAAUAAAGAAAAACUAUGGUAGCAAUCACAGAAGAUCGUAACAGAAACAGAAUUUUCUACAGGAUGAUUAGUUUCACAGUAGCAAAGCAAAUAUUAAUAAAAUCAAGAUUAAUACCAAUCCGAAAAGGAAUUUGAAAUAUGGAAAUAGACAGUCUAAAAAUCCAAAGGCAGAAAGAAAAACAAAAAGGAUUGACAAAAAAAAGAUCAAUAUAAAUUUGAAAGCCAGAUGCUUUAACAUGAGAAAUAAACAUCCUAAUUCCUAAAAGUCUGCAUGCCAUUUUUCAACAAAAACUCAAUUUUUUUUUUGUCAAACAAAAAAAGAAAGAGAGAACAAUACCUUUGUUGCAAUAAUAAAGAAAGACUAACAAACAAACAAUACGAGACACUCGUUUACAACCUUUGAGUAAAGAAAAAAGAAAUAAGAUUCGAGUCGAGUCAAAUUAAAUAAAAAAAAAAAACUGCCCCACCACAGUUUUGUCCCUUCAAAAUGCUUGAUUUGUAUUUAACAUCAUCACAGCCGACAAGAACUCAAGAUUUAAGUAAAGCGUAAAUUUUCAAUUUUUUAUGAUAAUUUCAGAAAAACAAAAGAAAAAUUCAUCAGAUUUAAUUAAUUUAACUAAAUUCAAGAUUCAAUCAUUUAUAUUGCAAAAAAGUGAACUAAUCAUUCAGAAUUUGAAAUAAUUCGUAGCACCUAUUGUCAGAAAGAAAGAAAAUAGGAGGAAAAUGUGGGAUCAGAUUUUCUCAUCAUUUUCCAAUUAGUGUACAUAAUUAGAAAAUAAUUAUAGGGGGAGAAUAAUUCUCUUUUUAUUGUUUAUUUCUUUCCUUGUAUAAACUUGUACCUUAGCUAUAUUAAAACGUUGUAAAGCAGCAGAAUAGAACAAUCAAUACAAUUCCUCCAAAUUAUGUCUCAAAUAAUAUUGCUUAACAUGGUAUCAGAGCAAGUUCAAUGAUUCUAGGAUCAAACAGUUGCAAUUGCUCAUCAUUUACCAACUUACCAAUAGAAAUCCGGUCACCAUGUCCGAAGACGACAACUCCUCAUCAGCCACCAGUGUACCAACCCAGAAGACUCCGGCUACCAUGUCUGAAGACGGCAACUUGGAGAAACAGUAUGGCAUCAGCAACGAUGACCUGACAAUUCAAUUAGCAAAUCUCAUAAAAAAUGGCCUCAGUAACCAAAACCAAAAACAAACCCUUUCAGAUAAUUUAAUCAUCAGCUCAAAUUAAACAGCCAAAAUUAUGUGUUAUGGGCAUGCAUGAUUAAGGUUGCAAUUGAAUAUCUAAGGCCUUGUUGAGCCACCUCACUGGAAUUCCAGCGCCACCAUAGAUCGGCGAUGAGAAAUACGAGAAAUGGGAACAAGACGAUCUCAUCGUGUUUUCAUGGUUAAUUCAAAAUAUUGAACCCCAAUUGGCAAGCAAUCUGACCGAAUUUCCUACAGCAAAAGCAUUAUGGAAUGCUCUUGUUACAACGUACAGCAGUGGCAGGGACAAAUUACAAACUUUUGAUCUUCAUUCAAGGGAAAAUGGUAUAAAACAAAAUGGAGCCCCUUUAGAAGAUUUCUGAAUUACCAUGCAAGGAGUAUGGGGCAAGAUUGACCGCCGGGAACCAAAUCCAAUGACCUCAGAAGCAGACAUAGCCACAUACAACAGAAUACGUCAAGAACAAAAACUGUUCCAGUUCCUGAAUGCAAUCGAUCAUGAAUAUAAUCAAAUAAAAAGAGAAAUUUUAAGGCAAGAUUCGUUACCCUCACCGGAAGCCGCCUACGCCACCGUUAGGAAAAAGGCAGCCCGCCUCAACAUUUUAGGACCGGCUUCUGGAAUCUCGUCACAAUAGGGCAUAGGCAGCGGAUUGAUUGCAACCGGGACUGAAGCCAUGGGAAUGGCAACACAGGGACAGCGACGGUCAGGCUCCGCCGGCGAGCCAGGCAGAUCAUCAUUCCGUUCAGACAAGGCAAAACUCAAGUGUACUCACUGUGGGAUGAGUAAACACACGAAGGAGAAUUGUUUCCGGAUUGUGGGAUAUCCCGAUUGGUGGAACGAUGACAUAAAAGGGACGGACAAGCCACAGGAGGUAAAGUCGCCAUCACCGUGAGCAGCCCUAAGGCUACCAGCAGCGGUGACGGUGGCCAAGGAGGCGUCGGAGAUGGAGGCAGUGUUGGACGAGCUAUGGCUGCUAGGGCUGAAGAAAGUGGUAAUACAGGUUAUAAAGGUAAAGGGUUUGGGAAUUUCUUCCUAAGCCCUUCCAAUUUGGACAAAUUAUUUUCUACCCUAAACCUAUUACAAAUUGACCCAAAAAGAUCUUUGUCUAUUGCAAAUAUGGUCCAAAAUUUUGAUAACAGUAAGAGUGCAUCAUGGAUUUUUGAUUGUGCCGCCACUGACACCAUGACAUUUGAUGCCAACGAUAUUAAAAUACAGUCCAAACCCACAAAGACACAUGUAGGAGCAGCCAAUGGGGGAAUAGUUCCUGUAGAGGGAACCGGGUCUAUUGAAAUAUUACCCACACUAAAACUGUCAAACUGUCUUUAUGUCCCUUCACUUUCACAUAAAUUAUUGUCUAUUAGUCAUGUAACAAAGGAACUUAAUUGUAUUAUGCUAAUGACACCCACUUUCUGUAUACUGCAGGACAUCAAGACAGGAACGAUUAUUGGACGUGGCACUGAGCGCCAAGGACUGUACUACGUGGAUGAAGUUGUCCAACACGGUACUGUGAUGUUAGCACAUGGAACUGCGGAUCGAGAAGCUUGGCUUUGGCACCAAAGAUUAGGACAUCCAUCCACUGGUUAUUUACAUCUUUUAUUUCCUAAACUCUUUAAAUCCAAUAAAAUAUUACAUUGUGAGACUUGUGUUUUGGCGAAAAGCCACAGACAAACUUUCAGGCCAAAUAAUACUAGGGUUGAUUUACCUUUUUCAUUAGUCCAUUCUGAUGUGUGGGGUCUAGCACCUGUCAUGGGAGGGAAAGGUUUUCGUUAUUUCUCGAUAUUUGUGGAUGAUUGUACUCGCAUGACGUGGGUAUAUUUUUUGAAAAACAAGUCAGAGGUUGUUGAUAAAUUUAUACUAUUUUAUACCAUGAUCCAAACCCAAUUUACUAAGUCAAUUCAAAUUUUAAGAUCCGACAACGGGGGAGAAUUUGUCAACACAACCAUGAAACAAUUUUAACAACAAAAAGGAUUAGUACACCAAACUACUUGUCCUCAUACUCCUGAGCAAAAUGGUGUUGCCGAACGAAAAAAUAGGAUUCUCCUUGAAAUGACCCGAGCUCUUCUUAUUGAGUCUCGGGUCCCUAAAGUUUUUUGGCCUGAAGCUUUAGCCACUGCCACCUACCUUCCAAAUAGACUCCCAACCUAAAUCCUUGACCUUCAAACUCCAAUCCAAACCCUAGCCAAAUUUACCAAAAUUCUCCCGACCUUAACUCUUCAACCACGAAUUUUAGGUUGCUCUGUAUUUGUCCACAUUCCGAAAACUGAAAGAACUAAAUUUGACCCAUGUGCAAAAAAAUGUGUAUUUGUUGGGUACGGGGUUAAUCAAAAGGAGUACCGAUGCUAUAAUCCUAAAACUUAUCAUAUGUUCACCACAAUGAACUGUGAUUUCCUUGAAACCGAAUACUUUUAUACUACCCAAUCCAGUGGUCAGGGGGAGAAGGAAUUAUGGACACAUUGAGUUGGCUUCCAGAACCAGUGUUCCCACAGGUGAAAUUGGAUCUUCAGAAAGAGAACCCAUGAGUGACAGUAGUAGAACAAGAAGAAAACAAUAUUGUUAGGCCAACUUCUGAUACUUCCAUACAGUCUACGGAGCCUAGUGUCUCAGAAAAUACUAUUCUUAACCUGGUGUCUGAGGUAAGAGAAACUGAAGAUCCUAACUCUCCUGUUAUUUCCACUAAUCCUGGUGACUGUGAAACUGUAGCAGAACAGGUGGCAGAGCAGGAAGAACAAUAUGUAUUACCACCCAGAGCCAAUAGGGGAGUUCCACCUAACAGAUACUCUCCAGAAAAAGAGGCUCGGAGGUCCAGAUAUCCGGUAGCAAACAUAGCCAGAGGAAGUCUAUCCAGAGAAGCCAAAGCAUUCAUCUCAGCUCUGUAUGAGGAAAAGAUCCCGACCAUAGUGGAACAUGCCUUGACAUCAGAAAAAUGGACCAAUGCAAUGAAGGAGGAAAUGAAUGCUUUAAUCCAGAACCACACAUGGGAGAAAUGUGCCUUACCGACAGGAAAGAAACCAGUUGGGUGUCGCUGGGUCUUCAUGAUAAAGCAUAAGCCAGAUGGUUCCAUUGAAAGGUACAAGGCACGGUUAGUGGCAAAAGGAUACACCCAGACUUAUGGCAUUGAUUACUCAGAGACUUUUUUACCGGUAGCAAAAAUUGAUACUAUCAGGGUAUUGUUGUCACGCCCCGACUCUAAUCACCAGAGGAAUUAUCCGCUUUGGUGUAGUCCACGAACGCCCUACACCUCAAUGUAGUCCCCGCACACCCUACCCACACGGUUUUAUCCCGCAGGUGAAAUGGGAAACUUCCCAGGAGGUCACCCAUCCUGAGAUUUCCGUUAAGCGAGCACGCUUAACCCUGGAGUUCUUCCAACUCUCCAGCCAUUCCACCAAAAGACGCCUCUAAUGAUUAGUUUCCCCCUUUUCGAUAUAUGAUUCGAUUCAUUCCUGUGUCCCGCAUUCCACUACCCUAGCUAGCCUGCCAUCCUAGGAUCGCUUUGCCGGGUCGGGAUGUCACNNNNNNNNNNNNNNNNNNNNNNNNNNNNNNNNNNNNNNNNNNNNNNNNNUCUGAUACCAACUGUCAUGCCCGACUCUAAUCACCAGAGGAAUUGUCCGCUUUGGUGUAGUCCACGGACGCCCUACACCUCAGUGUAGUCCCCGCACACCCUACCCGCACGGUUUUGUCCCGCAGGUGAAAUGGGAAACUUCCCAGAAGGUCACCCAUCCUGAGAUUUCCGUUAAGCGAGCACGCUUAACCCUGGAGUUCUUCCAACUCUCCAGCCAUUCCACCAAAAGGCGCCUCUAAUGAUUAGUUUCCCCCUUUUCGAUAUAUGAUUCGAUUCAUUCCUGUGUCCCGCAUUCCACUACCCUAGCUAGCCUGCCAUCCUAGGAUCGCUUUGCCAGGUCGGGAUGUCACAAUUGUUCUCAGUAGCAGCAAACAAGGGAUGGCCACUUCACCAGUUUGAUGUGAAGAAUGCUUUUCUGCAUGGGGAUCUGAAAGAAGAAGUUUAUAUGGAGGCUCCACCAAGUUUCACAGAGGAAUUCCAGAAAGGAGAAGUGUGUCGGUUGAAGAAGUCACUUUAUGGACUUAAGCAGUCACCUAGAGCCUGGUUUGGUAAGUUUACAUGAGCAAUGAAGGGAUAUGGGUUCAAACAGAGCAAUUCCGAUCAUACUCUAUUCCUGAAGCGGAGAGGCAGACUUGUAAUGUGUUUGAUCAUUUAUGUUGAUGACAUGAUCAUUACAAGAGAUGACAUGUAAGAAAUGACCAAGCUAAGGGAAAACCUGUUCACAGAAUUUGAAAUGAAAGACCCAGGAAGGUUGAAGUAUUUUCUCGGAAUUGAGGUUUUGAGAUCAAAACAAGGGAUUUUUCUAUGUCAGAAGAAAUACAUUUUGGAUCUUUUGGCAGAGACGAGAAUGAUCGAUUGUAAACCGGCUGACACACCAAUGGUGGUGAAUCAUGGACUGAAGAUAGUGGAAGGAGCAGAACUAGCAGAUAAGGAGAGGUAUCAAAGGUUGGUUGGAAAAUUGAUAUAUCUCUCACAUACUCGGCCAGAUAUAGCUUAUGCAGUUGGAGUAGUGAGCCAGUUCAUGCAUCAACCUCAGAUAGACCAUAUGGAAGCCGUGUGGAGGAUUGUAAGGUAUCUAAAGGGGACAUAUGGACGUGGUGUUCUAUUCAAAGCACAUGGACACCUAGAAUACAGGGGUAUACUAACACCGACUGGGAGGCAAUCCAGUGGACCGCAGAUCUACUUCAGGAUAUUUUACUCUUGUGGGGGGGGUAACUUAGUCACAUGGAGGAGCAAAAAUCAAAAAGUUGUAGCUUUGUCCAGUGAAGAGGUUGAAUUUCAAGGAGUGGCACGAGGCUUGGCAGAAAUAUUCUGGUUACGAAAAUUGCUAACUGAAAUUGGGUUUCCACCAUCUGAGGCUUGCAAGAUAAUGUGCGAUAAUCAGGCAACAAUUAGUAUCUUAGAAAAUCCAGUACAACAUGAUCGGACAAAACACGUAGAAGUUGAUAGACACUUCAUAAAAGAGAAGUUAGAUGCAGGUAUUGUAGAACUAACUUUCGUACGCUCUGAAGAUCAACUAGCAGAUAUAUUAAUGAAGGCAGUGAACGGAAGGAUCUUCAAUGAAGUUUUGGGCAAGUUGAGUAUUGGCAACCCCACUACUCAACUUGAGGGGGAGUGUCAGAAAGAAAGGAAAUAUGAGGAAAAUGUGGGAUCAGAUUUUCUCAUCAUUUCCCAAUUAGUGUACAUAAUUAGAGAAUAAUCUUUUUAUUGUUUAUUUCUUUUCUUGUAUAAACUUGUACCUUAGCUAUAUUAAAACGUUUUAAAGCAGCAGAAUAGAACAAUCAAUACAAUUCCUCCAAAUUAUGUCUCAAAUAAUAUUGCUUAACACCUGCAUAGUAAUCGCAAAGCUUAAAACCAACAAAUGAAAAAAAAAGGGAAAAAGAAAAAGGAAGGUCCUCACCAAUUUCAAGCGAU